GUGUCAGUAGUGCAACGGGUUCGAGCACACGCUUCUGGAUAUGGUGAGAUGAGGGUUCGAAUCUCGCCUGACGCG
This is a non-coding RNA of Parelaphostrongylus tenuis, 75 nucleotides long. The record is from the annotation of a GenBank genome assembly. Lineage: Eukaryota; Metazoa; Nematoda; Chromadorea; Rhabditida; Metastrongylidae.